This 1552-nucleotide ribosomal RNA is filed under the name Staphylococcus aureus. Its description in RNAcentral is "16S ribosomal RNA". It matches the Rfam family "Bacterial small subunit ribosomal RNA". The record is from RNAcentral. Lineage: Bacteria; Bacillati; Bacillota; Bacilli; Caryophanales; Staphylococcaceae.
UUUAUGGAGAGUUUGAUCCUGGCUCAGGAUGAACGCUGGCGGCGUGCCUAAUACAUGCAAGUCGAGCGAACGGACGAGAAGCUUGCUUCUCUGAUGUUAGCGGCGGACGGGUGAGUAACACGUGGAUAACCUACCUAUAAGACUGGGAUAACUUCGGGAAACCGGAGCUAAUACCGGAUAAUAUUUUGAACCGCAUGGUUCAAAAGUGAAAGACGGUCUUGCUGUCACUUAUAGAUGGAUCCGCGCUGCAUUAGCUAGUUGGUAAGGUAACGGCUUACCAAGGCAACGAUGCAUAGCCGACCUGAGAGGGUGAUCGGCCACACUGGAACUGAGACACGGUCCAGACUCCUACGGGAGGCAGCAGUAGGGAAUCUUCCGCAAUGGGCGAAAGCCUGACGGAGCAACGCCGCGUGAGUGAUGAAGGUCUUCGGAUCGUAAAACUCUGUUAUUAGGGAAGAACAUAUGUAUAAGUAACUGUGCACAUCUUGACGGUACCUAAUCAGAAAGCCACGGCUAACUACGUGCCAGCAGCCGCGGUAAUACGUAGGUGGCAAGCGUUAUCCGGAAUUAUUGGGCGUAAAGCGCGCGUAGGCGGUUUUUUAAGUCUGAUGUGAAAGCCCACGGCUCAACCGUGGAGGGUCAUUGGAAACUGGAAAACUUGAGUGCAGAAGAGGAAAGUGGAAUUCCAUGUGUAGCGGUGAAAUGCGCAGAGAUAUGGAGGAACACCAGUGGCGAAGGCGACUUUCUGGUCUGUAACUGACGCUGAUGUGCGAAAGCGUGGGGAUCAAACAGGAUUAGAUACCCUGGUAGUCCACGCCGUAAACGAUGAGUGCUAAGUGUUAGGGGGUUUCCGCCCCUUAGUGCUGCAGCUAACGCAUUAAGCACUCCGCCUGGGGAGUACGACCGCAAGGUUGAAACUCAAAGGAAUUGACGGGGACCCGCACAAGCGGUGGAGCAUGUGGUUUAAUUCGAAGCAACGCGAAGAACCUUACCAAAUCUUGACAUCCUUUGACAACUCUAGAGAUAGAGCCUUCCCCUUCGGGGGACAAAGUGACAGGUGGUGCAUGGUUGUCGUCAGCUCGUGUCGUGAGAUGUUGGGUUAAGUCCCGCAACGAGCGCAACCCUUAAGCUUAGUUGCCAUCAUUAAGUUGGGCACUCUAAGUUGACUGCCGGUGACAAACCGGAGGAAGGUGGGGAUGACGUCAAAUCAUCAUGCCCCUUAUGAUUUGGGCUACACACGUGCUACAAUGGACAAUACAAAGGGCAGCGAAACCGCGAGGUCAAGCAAAUCCCAUAAAGUUGUUCUCAGUUCGGAUUGUAGUCUGCAACUCGACUACAUGAAGCUGGAAUCGCUAGUAAUCGUAGAUCAGCAUGCUACGGUGAAUACGUUCCCGGGUCUUGUACACACCGCCCGUCACACCACGAGAGUUUGUAACACCCGAAGCCGGUGGAGUAACCUUUUAGGAGCUAGCCGUCGAAGGUGGGACAAAUGAUUGGGGUGAAGUCGUAACAAGGUAGCCGUAUCGGAAGGUGCGGCUGGAUCACCUCCUUU